GGGUAGGGUGGCCGAGUAGGUGGCGAGUUGUAGCCUCGUGUACGGGUCAAGCGCCCCCCAACCA
This 64-nucleotide transfer RNA is filed under the name Cyrtodactylus cf. pubisulcus. RNAcentral describes it as "partial tRNA-Tyr". The record is from RNAcentral. Lineage: Eukaryota; Metazoa; Chordata; Lepidosauria; Squamata; Gekkonidae.